Molecule: ribosomal RNA, 1343 nt
Filed under: uncultured bacterium
Lineage: Bacteria
Description: 16S ribosomal RNA
Rfam family: Bacterial small subunit ribosomal RNA
Source: RNAcentral
GGCGAACGCUGGCGGCGUGCUUAACACAUGCAAGUCGAACGGAAAGGCCCUGCUUUUGUGGGGUGCUCGAGUGGCGAACGGGUGAGUAACACGUGAGUAACCUGCCCUUGACUUUGGGAUAACUUCAGGAAACUGGGGCUAAUACCGGAUAGGAGCUCCUGCUGCAUGGUGGGGGUUGGAAAGUUUCGGCGGUUGGGGAUGGACUCGCGGCUUAUCAGCUUGUUGGUGGGGUAGUGGCUUACCAAGGCUUUGACGGGUAGCCGGCCUGAGAGGGUGACCGGCCACAUUGGGACUGAGAUACGGCCCAGACUCCUACGGGAGGCAGCAGUGGGGAAUAUUGCACAAUGGGCGGAAGCCUGAUGCAGCAACGCCGCGUGCGGGAUGACGGCCUUCGGGUUGUAAACCGCUUUCGCCUGUGACGAAGCGUGAGUGACGGUAAUGGGUAAAGAAGCACCGGCUAACUACGUGCCAGCAGCCGCGGUGAUACGUAGGGUGCGAGCGUUGUCCGGAUUUAUUGGGCGUAAAGGGCUCGUAGGUGGUUGAUCGCGUCGGAAGUGUAAUCUUGGGGCUUAACCCUGAGCGUGCUUUCGAUACGGGUUGACUUGAGGAAGGUAGGGGAGAAUGGAAUUCCUGGUGGAGCGGUGGAAUGCGCAGAUAUCAGGAGGAACACCAGUGGCGAAGGCGGUUCUCUGGGCCUUUCCUGACGCUGAGGAGCGAAAGCGUGGGGAGCGAACAGGCUUAGAUACCCUGGUAGUCCACGCUGUAAACGGUGGGUACUAGGUGUGGGGUCCAUUCCACGGGUUCCGUGCCGUAGCUAACGCUUUAAGUACCCCGCCUGGGGAGUACGGCCGCAAGGCUAAAACUCAAAGGAAUUGACGGGGCCCCGCACAAGCGGCGGAGCAUGCGGAUUAAUUCGAUGCAACGCGUAGAACCUUACCUGGGUUUGACAUGGAUCGGGAGCGCUCAGAGAUGGGUGUGCCUCUUUUGGGGUCGGUUCACAGGUGGUGCAUGGCUGUCGUCAGCUCGUGUCGUGGGAUGUUGGGUUAAGUCCCGCAACGAGCGCAACCCUUGUUCACUGUUGCCAGCACGUUAUGGUGGGGACUCAGUGGAGACCGCCGGGGUCAACUCGGAGGAAGGUGGGGAUGACGUCAAGUCAUCAUGCCCCUUAUGUCCAGGGCUUCACGCAUGCUACAAUGGCUGGUACAGAGAGUGGCGAGCCUGUGAGGGUGAGCGAAUCUCGGAAAGCCGGUCUCAGUUCGGAUUGGGGUCUGCAACUCGACCUCAUGAAGUCGGAGUCGCUAGUAAUCGCAGAUCAGCAACGCUGCGGUGAAUACGUUCCCGGG